Molecule: ribosomal RNA, 237 nt
Filed under: uncultured bacterium
Lineage: Bacteria
Description: partial 16S ribosomal RNA
Rfam family: Bacterial small subunit ribosomal RNA
Source: RNAcentral
GAUCAUGCUCAGGAUGAACGCUGGCGGCGUGCCUAACACAUGCAAGUCGAACGGAGCUGCUUUGAUGAAGUUUUCGGAUGGAUUUAAAGCAGCUUAGUGGCGGACGGGUGAGUAACGCGUGGGUAACCUGCCUCACACUGGGGGAUAACAGUUAGAAAUAGCUGCUAAUACCGCAUAAGCGCACGGUUCCGCAUGGAACAGUGUGAAAAACUCCGGUGGUGUGAGAUGGACCCGCGU